AUGGAGGAAGUGGCGCUUGCUAGCUUGCGACUGGCGGUAUCUCCAAUCUUGAAGGAGCUCAUCACUAAAGCUUCAACAUACCUUGGUGUUGACUUGACGCGUGAGCUCCAUCAACUGGAGACCACCAUCAUGCCGCAGUUCGAGUUGAUGAUUCAAGCUGCUAACAAGCGCAACCAGAGGGCCAUGCUGGACAAAUGGAUCCAGGAGCUCAAAGACGCCUUGUACAAGGCUGAGGACCUGUUGGAUGACAAAGAGUACAACUUUCUCAAGCGCAAAGCAAAGGGCAAGAAGGAUUCCUCCACCAACACUGCUUUGAAGCCUUGGCAUGCUAUGUCGAGCAUGUUGUCCAAUCUGUGCCCGGAGAACAGAAAGCUACAUUUCCGGCUCCUCUUCAUUGCAGUGAAAUAG
Molecule: ribosomal RNA, 408 nt
Filed under: Triticum aestivum (bread wheat)
Lineage: Eukaryota; Viridiplantae; Streptophyta; Magnoliopsida; Poales; Poaceae
Description: partial small subunit ribosomal RNA
Source: RNAcentral